This 492-nucleotide ribosomal RNA is filed under the name uncultured bacterium. RNAcentral's name for it is "partial 16S ribosomal RNA". It matches the Rfam family "Bacterial small subunit ribosomal RNA", at positions 29 to 507 of the family's 1533-position model. The record is from RNAcentral.
AGUGAACGCUGGCGGUAGGCCUAACACAUGCAAGUCGAGCGGCAGCACAGUAAGAGCUUGCUCUUACGGGUGGCGAGUGGCGGACGGGUGAGGAAUACAUCGGAAUCUACUUUUUCGUGGGGGAUAACGUAGGGAAACUUACGCUAAUACCGCAUACGACCUACGGGUGAAAGCAGGGGAGCUUCGGACCUUGCGCGAUUGAAUGAGCCGAUGUCGGAUUAGCUAGUUGGCGGGGUAAAGGCCCACCAAGGCGACGAUCCGUAGCUGGUCUGAGAGGAUGAUCCGCCACACUGGAACUGAGACACGGUCCAGACUCCUACGGGAGGCAGCAGUGGGGAAUAUUGGACAAUGGGCGCAAGCCUGAUCCAGCCAUACCGCGUGGGUGAAGAAGGCCUUCGGGUUGUAAAGCCCUUUUGUUGGGAAAGAAAAGCAGCAGGUUAAUACCCCGCUGUUCUGACGGUACCCAAAGAAUAAGCACCGGCUAACUUCGUG